AAUUACUUCAAGAGAUGGCUCUAGGUCAAGACGAGGACAUCGUUCCACCGCUAUCAGAGACCUACCGCUGUAAUUACUUUGGGAGUCCGUCUUAACCCUUGAUGCUUACCCUUCAAUUGUCAACCUCAGUAUGCCUAGACUCCCAGACCAAGCCCAUGCAUUUAUGUGAAGUUUUGUUAAGAUUUUGUCAUGCACUUUAAUUAUUUACUUAAGGUUAAAAUGUAUGUAUAUACCCCCUUUCUUUACCAAUGUUCGGAUA
Non-coding RNA from Camellia sinensis, 259 nucleotides. The record is from RefSeq and is a predicted model, not a curated record. Lineage: Eukaryota; Viridiplantae; Streptophyta; Magnoliopsida; Ericales; Theaceae.